UAAUACAUAGGGUGCAAGCGUUGUCCGGAAUUAUUGGGCGUAAAGAGCUCGUAGGUGGUCGAUCACGUCGGAUGUGAAAAUCUGGGGCUUAACCCCCAGACCUGCAUUCGAUACGGGUUGACUAGAGUGUGGUAGGGGAAACUGGAAUUCCUGGUGUAGCGGUGGAAUGCGCAGAUAUCAGGAGGAACACCGAUGGCGAAGGCAGGUUUCUGGGCCAUAACUGACACUGAGGAGCGAAAGCAUGGGGAGCGAACAGGAUUAGAUACCCUGGUAGUCCAUGCCGUAAACGGUGGGCGCUAGUUGUGCGAACCUUCCACGGUUUGUGCGACGCAGCUAACGCAUUAAGCGCCCCGCCUGGGGAGUACGAUCGCAAGAUUAAAACUCAAAGGAAUUGACGGGGCCCCGCACAAGCAGCGGAGCAUGCGGCUUAACUUUA
Molecule: ribosomal RNA, 436 nt
Filed under: uncultured Mobilicoccus sp.
Lineage: Bacteria; Bacillati; Actinomycetota; Actinomycetes; Micrococcales; Dermatophilaceae
Description: bacterial SSU rRNA
Rfam family: Bacterial small subunit ribosomal RNA
Source: RNAcentral